Molecule: ribosomal RNA, 253 nt
Filed under: uncultured bacterium
Lineage: Bacteria
Description: partial 16S ribosomal RNA
Rfam family: Bacterial small subunit ribosomal RNA
Source: RNAcentral
UACGAAGGGGGCUAGCGUUGCUCGGAAUUACUGGGCGUAAAGCGCACGUAGGCGGUCUUUUAAGUCGGGGUGAAAUCCUGGAGCUCAACUCCAGAACUGCCUUCGAUACUGGAAGACUUGAGUCCGGGAGAGGUGAGUGGAACUGCGAGUGUAGAGGUGAAAUUCGUAGAUAUUCGCAAGAACACCAGUGGCGAAGGCGGCUCACUGGCCCGGUACUGACGCUGAGGUGCGAAAGCGUGGGGAGCAAACAGGG